UACGAAGGGGGCGAGCGUUGUUCGGAUUUACUGGGCGUAAAGGGCGCGUAGGCGGCGGACCUUGUCGAGUGUGAAAGCCCCGGGCUCAACCUGGGAGGUGCGCUCGAAACGGGUUUGCUGGAGUUCGGGAGAGGAGCGUGGAAUUCCCAGUGUAGAGGUGAAAUUCGUAGAUAUUGGGAAGAACACCGGUGGCGAAGGCGGCGCUCUGGACCGAGACUGACGCUGAGGCGCGAAAGCGUGGGGAGCAAACAGG
Molecule: ribosomal RNA, 253 nt
Filed under: uncultured prokaryote
Description: partial 16S ribosomal RNA
Rfam family: Bacterial small subunit ribosomal RNA
Source: RNAcentral